AACGAACGCUGGCGGCAUGCCUAACACAUGCAAGUCGAACGAUCCCUUCGGGGAUAGUGGCGCACGGGUGCGUAACGCGUGGGAACCUGCCCUUAGGUUCGGAAUAACUCAGAGAAAUUUGAGCUAAUACCGGAUAAUGUCUUCGGACCAAAGAUUUAUCGCCUUUGGAUGGGCCCGCGUUGGAUUAGCUAGUUGGUGGGGUAAAGGCCUACCAAGGCGACGAUCCAUAGCUGGUCUGAGAGGAUGAUCAGCCACACUGGGACUGAGACACGGCCCAGACUCCUACGGGAGGCAGCAGUGGGGAAUAUUGGACAAUGGGCGAAAGCCUGAUCCAGCAAUGCCGCGUGAGUGAUGAAGGCCUUAGGGUUGUAAAGCUCUUUUACCCGGGAAGAUAAUGACAGUACCGGGAGAAUAAGCCCCGGCUAACUCCGUG
Molecule: ribosomal RNA, 433 nt
Filed under: uncultured bacterium
Lineage: Bacteria
Description: partial 16S ribosomal RNA
Rfam family: Bacterial small subunit ribosomal RNA
Source: RNAcentral